AAGUUACCAACAGUUUUCUACUUGUUUCGUACUUUGGAACCAUGUGAAUUCCGCAGUAACCACCAAUUACACACCGCCUAUAGUCACAAUAGCAGGCAGACAAAACCCACAUAAAGUAUAAAAUCUAGAUGACUCGUGACAAAAAAUAGUCUGGUAUACGGUAUUUCACUUGAAAAUAUGUUACAGCAAUAGGUUCGACACAGAGAUCGAGUAUAUUUUAAACUCGAUUUGUGAAGUUUACUGUCACUGUCAUUACUAAUAAAGCAACGAUAUUAUUUGAAUAUAUUGGUAUGUAUUUAAACCACUGCAGCAUUUGCCAAAUGCAAAGUUUAAAAGAACUAGCAUACGUUCAAAAAAACAGAACGCUAUAAUUGCCUGCAUACUAAUGCUGAAUUAAGCCGACGAGUUCUUAUUUCUAGGUCAUGAGCGGACCCUAUACUGUAUGUAAGUCUCCCUUUUAUCGUGUCCUGGUAGGACAAGGUUACACAUAGAAAAAACUGACAAAUCAAAAACGCAUCUCCCAAAUCCUUGUCCAAACACAACCAAUUCCUGAAUUCUUUAAAACUUGUAAUGAAAAUUGUACUUCGAAGAAUUGAUAACAUAAGACAGAAAGAUGAAAUGCUCAGCAAUACACAAUCAUCACAAUAGACGAUCAGGAAUGACAGAAUGAUAAAUGAAAGAUGGUUUUAUCAAACAAAAUAUUAUGUCUUAGAACACUUAUACCUAAAUUUUCCCAAAUUCAGUAAUGAUCCAAAUAUAAAUAAAUAACAUACCGAUAAUAUUUAUGACACCGGGUGAAAAAACUUUGUGAAUCCACGAGAAUACUUCACAAUCUGUUAAUAAUGACAAUAUUUAAUACACAAGCAUUAGUAAACUUCAAAUUAUACGGCUCAAACUAUUAAGAAUCUUCCCCAAAAAUCAUUGCAUAAAACAUUCUGAAAACAUCAGUACACUGUCUUCACAGCAACAAAUAUACGUUACAAUAUAUUAACACCAAGGGCAACAACCCAAUAGGAAUCCAGUUUCUAACUAAUUUAGAUGUCUAAGUCAUCUGAAAGAUAAAAACAAUAGGCAAAUCACAAUAAUACCGACACAAAGAAACUUCAAAAACCUGAAUUGGCAGCAACACUUUCUGCUGCUAAAAUGGCACGAGUAUGGUGCAAUAUUCGUUAGAACUUGACUCAAUAGCGCCUACAUGCGACAACAAUAUUAUUGUUAAACAAUUACACUCGGAAGUCUCGGAUCUUGACGUAAAACUGCGUAAACCUACUAAUUUAUCGGUCGAUUUCUGCAAGGUUAAAUUUAAAAAAAUUGUGUCUCGUAGACGAAGUUCACUUGAUGUAAGCAGUCAAAGCCAAAAAUCUUAUAAAAUUAUAUAGAAUCAAAUUCGCCACGAAAAUAUUUCCGUGAUAACCCAUUUUCAAAAUUGUAGUCGCAGUAACUUCAGAAUGAAGUCAACAAUUAGCAACAGCGUGUAAAGCUUUUGUACGAGUAUAAUAUUGGCUAAUAAGCAAGUUGUCGACGGUGACGCAGCAAUGUCCAUCCAAUCAGGCCCAUUGUCAGGCGUGGUGAUGGAUAUAACAUCGCUUCCGUGAUCUUGCUUUGUAAUUGUCAGUUUUUAGCUAUAAGCCCAAAGUUUAGGCAUAAAUCAACAGUCAUUUGGCCUUCUACAGCGCCUUUAUAAAUUAUUUAAUAGGAACCCUUUGAGCAUCAUUGUGGCAACUGAUGCAUCACCGGAUCAGAAGUAGUAGCAAAACAAGGUGAAAGGACUAGCAGUCUAAUACAUAAUGGCUAGUACCCUCUGUCUAACACAGAAAAGAAAAGGUAAAAGUAGUACGCUUGAUUUGCCAUGAUCAAAAGUAGAGCGUGGCUUCCAAAGGGAGGAUAACAUUACUGUAAAUAUUCUAGUGACGAUGGAAGUGGCACAUCUUCGCGAUGAGUUAUUGUUGUCGAAUUUGUCGGGGUAUCGUAUCAGACAGUUAUGCGAUAUGCCGUUUAAUUCACACUCGCAUCAACAUUGAGAUAAAUGUUAUAGUUCACUGCAUGCGGAUGUGUGGAUUUAAAAUUCGUUGGAGCGUUAUUUAGCACAUACAACACUACGUUUUGGACAAUUUCCUGUGCGCUGUGAAAGCAAGUAUACAUGAUAGUUCGAAACAGCAAGACAGGCAGGAUUAGUUUAUCUGUUCAGAUGUAGUAUCGAACUUGAUAGCAUCAGCGUCGCCACGUCAGAGCUUAUUUCCGGACUUUUAAGAAGAUUUUUUCUGUUUUGGAUUCGGCAUUUCUAACAGAGUUGUACAGUACUUUCGGCGGUAUUUUCAUGCAUAGUUCAUUAAAUACAAGUUUAAGUUGUUACGUAAUAAUGGUUAUAUGAAUGUCAUAAAACGGCUUUGAGUCCUUCGGUUGCGACUUGCGAAAGGACCCAUAGCACAAAAAAAUGAAGAAUGAUAAAAUAUCAAUAAUGCUAACGAAUGAGUUUAUGAUAAUUUGUUGAGUCUGUAAUUUUAUUCAGCAAAUUGAUCGAGAUAAGUUUGCUCCCAGUCAAUAACCUCACAAAGAAGUAUGUUAGAUUUGGUAUUCACAACGCUGACUGAUUUUGAAUAUAUAAUGUUUGGUUUGCCUUUAGCACAUUUUUGUGGCAAAGCUCUUCAUUAUCCAACACGAGAUUUAGAUAAAGCGGUAAUCUUCUAGUGUAAAGUACCGAAAUAAUUUCUAAAGCAUGUAGGAAUGAGAUCGAACAUGUUAACUUGAAUGGUUCAUUGUUUUAUUCUUUUGGACACAGAAUAAACACGAUGUGUUCCAGGGUAGACACCAAGCACCCUCGAAAUACAAUUAAAAGCUACCUCGCGUACGUUAUCGGUAUAUUUUUUGUUUAUACUGCUUUUGCUUUUGUGAUGUUUCAACAGUCAAGCAUUAAUAUUAAAGAUGGUUUAGGUACAAUAUCCUUGGCCUGUUCGUAUAUAUCAUCUAUCGUAUUUGGACUGAUAUUCACUCCCAUACUUAUACGGAGAUUUGGCGUGAAGAAAUGCAUACUUUUAAGUGAAGCGACAUACGCUACAUACAUUAUAUCCAAUUACUAUCCAGAGUAUUACACGAUGCUUCCUGGUGCUUUACUUCUGGGGGCUGGAGAAGCAACAUUGUGGCCUUGUAUCACAAUGAUGAAUGUCUACUACGGGAGGCAAUAUUCUGAUCGUAUUAAAAAUCGAAAUAAAUCUUAUGAAUAUUAUGUUGGGCUGUUCUCCGGUUAUUACUUUGCCAUUCAUCAUUGCAAUAAGGUGAUAUGCGGAUUGAUCUCAUUUUUUACACAAAACCUAUUUCAUGAUCAAUUCGACGAAAGAAAAAAUCUUACAAGCAAUUCAACAAAGAUAAUAUUUCACCAAAAUGAAACACAUGAAGUCUUCCAGAAUAUGUUUCAACAUUGCGGUGCCAACGACUGCCAAGACGUUGAAGUUGUCGAAGAAACUAUAGAAAAGUAUACCCCAACCGACAAUAUCAAAUUAAUCAUUUUGAUAUCAUUUCUGUUGCUAAUCUGUUUGUUGCCUAUUAUAGUUCAUGUUAUUGUGUUACCCAAUGUAACCACGCAUGCAUUAACUUUGCCUACAACUGUAGCAGAGGUUGAAGCACUGGAAAUUUGUAGCGAUGGCAAUUUGGAUGACAGUGACUUUAUGAAAGAAGCAGAAUUUGUUCAUGUGAGAAAAAAGUCGGUGGAAGCUGCUGAGAAACCAUCAGUGAAGUUUUCUCAGAUUAGUGCUACGACGAUUUCAGAGAAGAAUGAACCUCAUGAGAUGGCAGUUUUACAAACGUUGAAUGAAGUUGUAAAACAAAUGCUUGUUGGGGAGCAGUUACUCAUAAUACCCUUCACGAUAUAUAAUGGGAUGUUGAUUUCUUUUGCAGUUUCUGAAUUAACAAGAUCUUAUGUUUCUUGUAUUAAUGGGUUUUCAAAAAUUGGAUUCUAUGUGGCUGUGUUUGGAGCCGGUCAUGCCAUUUCCGCGUACAUGUUCAACAAAACAAGGAGAAAAAUUGGACAAACCUUUUUGUUCCUCAUAUGUGUUAGUUUGGAUCUUCUCAACCUUAUAUUCUGUUUACAUUGGAAUCCAAAUCAGGAAAAUUCUUGGAUGGUUUAUAUUGUGUAUUUGUGCUUUGGACUUACUGAUGGAAUUUGGCAACCCGGCAUAAAUAGUAAGUAGUAGAACUAUUUGUUUUAUACAAAUCAUGGCACGCUUCAGCAUGAAGUUUCCAUUUUAUAUUCGGUAUCUUAAAAAGUGAGUCAAUGUUUUUUAUUGUAAUGAGCGACCACUUUAUCAAUUAAAAAUUAAUUAAAUGUGCCGAAUCCUAAUUCUUUCUUGCGAUUGUUAAAUUAAUAACUUCAAGUAAACACAAAAGUGACCGCUGGUUUGAUCCCGUUUCCCAACUGAAGAAUAUCCCCCUCCCCUAACCCACCUAGACCGAUAAUACCAGUUGAUCUUUUAUUUGACCUGGACUAAUUAUUUGGUAGGGUUAAGGAUAGAUAGUCUUAGUUGGGGUGGAGAUUCUACAGUUGGUCUAACUUGGGGUGGAGAUUCUUCGGUUGGGCCAGCCGGUUUCUGAAUUUGCAAAUGCAAUCACAUUCAUUUCGGACCUCCUGAAGUAUGCGCACCAAGAUGGCGCACAACCUGAACUCAGGUUGUGUACCAGGUUAGGGUUCAGGUUAUACGACAUAUUGGUGCGCAUACUUCAGGAGUACCUUCAUUUCAGUAUCAAAAUGGGAUUCACAGACUACAAAUAGGGGGUAGCCCCCAUUGUUGUAUGUGGAAUAUUUCCCUGACAAUCAAUAUAUUGCUGGGUCUGUAUGGACUGUUCUAAUUCACGUUGGAAUGGGAAUACAAUUUGCCUGGAGUGGAAGUUUCUGC
This is a non-coding RNA of Styela clava, 4886 nucleotides long. NCBI's taxonomy places the organism in Eukaryota, Metazoa, Chordata, Ascidiacea, Stolidobranchia, Styelidae. The record is from RefSeq and is a predicted model, not a curated record.